Telopea speciosissima is the source of this 349-nucleotide long non-coding RNA. RefSeq lists it as uncharacterized. NCBI's taxonomy places the organism in Eukaryota, Viridiplantae, Streptophyta, Magnoliopsida, Proteales, Proteaceae. The transcript has 2 exons. The record is from RefSeq and is a predicted model, not a curated record.
GGGACUGAAGGUUAUGGCCUUAGAUAUGGGGACUGAAAUUCAAGGACAUAAUAAAGCUCUGGAGCAUGUCGGUGAAGAUGUGGAUGAGAUAAAUUUCCGGAUUAAAGGUGCCAAUCAACGUGGGCGUCGUUUGCUGGGGAAGUGAAGGCCGUGAAGUUGUAUAGCUUGCUGUAGACAUGCUCACUGUACUUGACUUGGGUUCGCACAACCCCUCUCUGAGUCUUCUCUGUAAUCUCAUGUUUACUAGCUGUGUAAUGGAUUUGAAUUCAGAUAUUGCUAUAAUACCUCCUAUUUUUGUAAGCUCUUUUGUAUAUAAUGGAAAUUAUGAUGUUUCAUUGCAGAUUUUCAA